GGAAUCUUGGACAAUGGGCGCAAGCCUGAUCCAGCCAUGCCGCGUGGAUGAUGAAGGCCCUAGGGUUGUCAAAUCCUUUCGUCAGGGACGAUAAUGCCGGUACAUGAAGAAGAAGCCCCGGCCAACUCCGUGCCAACAGCCGCGGUAAUACGAAGGGGGCUAGCGUUGUUCGGAUUUACUGGGCGUAAAGCGCGUGUAGGCGGGCUGGAAAGGUGGGGGUGAAAUCCCGAGGCUCAACCUCGGAACUGCCUCCAAAACUUCCAGCCUGGACUCAAGCAGAGGCAAGUGGAAUUGCGAGUGUAGAGGUGAAAUUCGUAGAUAUUCGCAGGAACACCAGUGGCGAAGGCGACUUGCUGGGCUUGUAGUGACGCUGAGACGCGAAAGCGUGGGGAGCAAAC
Molecule: ribosomal RNA, 398 nt
Filed under: uncultured bacterium
Lineage: Bacteria
Description: bacterial SSU rRNA
Rfam family: Bacterial small subunit ribosomal RNA
Source: RNAcentral